RNAcentral lists this ribosomal RNA (201 nucleotides) under uncultured bacterium. RNAcentral describes it as "partial 16S ribosomal RNA". It matches the Rfam family "Bacterial small subunit ribosomal RNA", at positions 1301 to 1500 of the family's 1533-position model. The record is from RNAcentral.
UAGUCUGCAACCCGACUACAUGAAGCUGGAAUCGCUAGUAAUCGCGGAUCAGAAUGCCGCGGUGAAUACGUUCCCGGGUCUUGUACACACCGCCCGUCACACCAUGGGAGCCGGGAAUGCCCGAAGUCGGUGACCUAACCUUUAAGGGGGGAGCCGCCGAAGGCAGGUCUGGUAACUGGGGUGAAGUCGUAACAAGGUAUC